GCAUGUAUCAGUUAAGCCUACACCAUAGUGAAACCGCGAAUGGCUCAUUAAAUCAGUUAUAAUCUCAACAGAUGUUCAGACGUCUAAGGAUAACUGCGGUAACCCUGCAGCUAAUACUUGCUAAUUGCAGGCGGAAUAUGAUUCGCUCUGUUCUCCUUGUUACUUUUAUUAGAGGAACCGGCGUUGGUGAUGCCCAUGUAUCUGCGUGUAGAUCUCUGAAUAACUGAAGGAUCAAAUAUGCGAAAGCGAUUUGACGAUCUGUCUGAGUAUCUGACCUAUCACCUAGUGUCGGUAGUGUAACGGACUACCGAGGGUGUAACGGGUAACGGGGAAUCAGGGUUCGAUUCCGGAGAGGGAGCCUGAGAAACGGCUACCACAUCCACGGAAGGCAGCAGGCGCGCAAAUUACCCAAUCUCGGUGCGAGGAGGUAGUGACGAGAAAUAACAAUAUGAACCCAUGUGGUUUGUGAUUGGAAUGAGAGAAAUGUAACUACUUUCAUUCGAAAACUAGUGGAGGGCAAGUCUGGUGCCAGCAGCMGCGGUAAUACCAGCUCCACAAGCGUAKGCAAAAGUUGCUGCGKUUAAAAAGCUCGUAGUUGGAUCUGUUUCGAGUGUGAMMWUGAAAAACAGGCAUCUCCUUGUGGGAGUCUGGUUGCAUUUGUUUCUUCCCGUAAAUGGUAGUUACACUUCAUUGUGAUGAUUAUUAUGAGCGAUUGAUUAAAUUUGAAUAAAUCAGAGUGUUCAAAGCGACCUUUGGGAUUGAAUGAUAAAGCAUGUGAUAAAGGAGGAAGACCCGUAACGAUGCGUUAAAGUGGUUUGCAAGUUAUGGUAAUGAUUAAAAGGAACAGUCGGGGGCAUUUGUAUUGCUACGUUAGAGGUGAAAUUCUUGGAUCGUGGCAAGACAAACUAAAGCGAAAGCAUUUGCCAAGAAUGUUUUCAUUAAUCAAGAACGAAAGUUAGAGUAUUGAAGAGGAUUAGAUACCCUCGUAAUUCUAACCAUAAACGAUACCUACUUACGAUUUGUCAAUGUUCUCUCCUGUAGACGUGGCAAGGAGUUACCCGGGAAACCAAAGUUAAUUGGCUACGGGGGAAGUAUGGUUGCAAAAUCGAAACUUAAAGGAAUUGACGGAAGGGCACCACCAGGUGUGGAGCCUGCGGCUUAAUUUGACUCAACACGGGGAAACUCACCAGGUCCAGACAUAAUAAGGAUUGACAGACUAAUGAUCUUUCAUGAUUCUAUGGGUGGUGGUGCAUGGCCGUUCUUAGUUAGUGGAGCGAUCUGUCUGGUUAAUUCCGAUAACGAACGAGAUCCAAACCAUCUAAAUAGUAUAUCUAACUGACUUAUGUUGGAUUAAUAUACUUCUUAGAGGGACUACCUGGAAUAUAAUACCAGGGGGAAGUUGGGCUAUAACAGGUCUGUGAUGCCCUUAGAUGUCCUGGGCCGCACGCGCGCUACACUGAAUGUCACAAUGUGAGAAUUAGCCUUGUGCGAAAAGCACUGGGUAAACACUAAAGGCAUAUCGUACUUGGGAUAGAUUGUUGUAAUUAGUAGUCUUGAACGAGGAAUACCUAGUAAGUAUCAGUCAUCAGCUGGUACUGAUUACGUCCCUGCCCUUUGUACACACCGCCCGUCGCUACUACUGAUUGGGCGUUCAAGCGAGGUCCUUGAACACUGACACUAAAUUACUUUACGGUAACGUCGCCGUUCGAAGAAGAGGAUCGAGCUUUGCGUCUAGA
Molecule: ribosomal RNA, 1736 nt
Filed under: Philocelis sp. d SE-2022
Lineage: Eukaryota; Metazoa; Xenacoelomorpha; Acoela; Otocelididae
Description: SSU rRNA
Source: RNAcentral